Molecule: small nuclear RNA, 54 nt
Filed under: Schizosaccharomyces pombe (fission yeast)
Lineage: Eukaryota; Fungi; Ascomycota; Schizosaccharomycetes; Schizosaccharomycetales; Schizosaccharomycetaceae
Source: RNAcentral
UUGUAAGUAACAAUAUUUACCAAGGUUCGAGUCAUACUAACUCGUUGUUUAGAG